GACGAACGCUGGCGGCGUGCCUAAUACAUGCAAGUCGUGCGGACCUUGUUGAAAGCUUGCUUUUAAAAGGUUAGCGGCGGACGGGUGAGUAACACGUGGGCAACCUGCCUGUAAGACUGGGAUAACGCCGGGAAACCGGGGCUAAUACCAGAUCGUUUUUUCCUCCGCAUGGAGGAAAAAGGAAAGGCGGCUUCGGCUGCCACUUACAGAUGGGCCCGCGGCGCAUUAGCUAGUUGGCGGGGUAAUGGCCCACCAAGGCAACGAUGCGUAGCCGACCUGAGUGGGUGGGCAGCCACAUUGGGACGGAGACACGGCCCAAACGGCUACGGGAGGCAGCAGUAGGGAAACGUCCGGAAGGAGCGAAAGUCUGACGGAGCAACGCCGCGGGAGGGAAGAAGGCCGUCGGGUCGUAAAACUCUGUUGCCGGGGAAGAAACAGUGCCGUUCGAACAGGGCGGCGCCUUGACGGUACCCGGCCAGAAAGCCACGGCUAACUACGUG
Molecule: ribosomal RNA, 500 nt
Filed under: uncultured bacterium
Lineage: Bacteria
Description: partial 16S ribosomal RNA
Rfam family: Bacterial small subunit ribosomal RNA
Source: RNAcentral